AGUGAACGCUGGCGGUAGGCCUAACACAUGCAAGUCGAACGGCAGCACAGUAAGAGCUUGCUCUUACGGGUGGCGAGUGGCGGACGGGUGAGGAAUACAUCGGAAUCUACUUUUUCGUGGGGGAUAACGUAGGGAAACUUACGCUAAUACCGCAUGCGACCUACGGGUGAAAGCAGGGGAUCUUCGGACCUUGCGCGAUUGAAUGAGCCGAUGUCGGAUUAGCUAGUUGGCGGGGUAAAGGCCCACCAAGGCGACGAUCCGUAGCUGGUCUGAGAGGAUGAUCAGACACACUGGAACUGAGACACGGUCCAGACUCCUACGGGAGGCAGCAGUGGGGAAUAUUGGACAAUGGGCGCAAGCCUGAUCCAGCCAUACCGCGUGGGUGAAGAAGGCCUUCGGGUUGUAAAGCCCUUUUGUUGGGAAAGAAAAGCAGCAGGUUAAUACCCCGCUGUUCUGACGGUACCCAAAGAAUAAGCACCGGCUAACUUCGUG
Molecule: ribosomal RNA, 492 nt
Filed under: uncultured bacterium
Lineage: Bacteria
Description: partial 16S ribosomal RNA
Rfam family: Bacterial small subunit ribosomal RNA
Source: RNAcentral